This 301-nucleotide ribosomal RNA is filed under the name uncultured bacterium. Its description in RNAcentral is "partial 16S ribosomal RNA". It matches the Rfam family "Bacterial small subunit ribosomal RNA", at positions 509 to 807 of the family's 1533-position model. The record is from RNAcentral.
CAGUAGCCACGGUAAUACGUAGGUGGCAAGCGUUGUCCGGAAUUAUUGGGCGUAAAGGGCUCGCAGGCGGUUUCUUAAGUCUGAUGUGAAAGCCCCCGGCUCAACCGGGGAGGGUCAUUGGAAACUGGGAAACUUGAGUGCAGAAGAGGAGAGUGGAAUUCCACGUGUAGCGGUGAAAUGCGUAGAGAUGUGGAGGAACACCGGUGGCGAAGGCGACUCUCUGGCCUGUAACUGACGCUGAGGAGCGAAAGCGUGGGGAGCGAACAGGAUUAGAUACCCCAGUAGUCCCUGUCUCUUAUAC